This is a long non-coding RNA of Amphibalanus amphitrite, 1822 nucleotides long. RefSeq lists it as uncharacterized. The transcript is spliced from 3 exons. The record is from RefSeq and is a predicted model, not a curated record. NCBI's taxonomy places the organism in Eukaryota, Metazoa, Arthropoda, Thecostraca, Balanomorpha, Balanidae.
AAGGAAAUCAUGGCCUCCCACUCCCGAUGGAGGCCCCAAAUGUCGGACCCCUAUUUUUUGUAUUUGUCUGGGUGUCUGGGGCGCAUAGCGACACGGGACCGCCGGCUGGCUGGCCGGCUGCCCGUCCGGUCACGUGCUUGCGUCCCGACACCCACCAUAAAACCUAUGUUCUCUAAAUACACGCUCUCACUCCUCCUCUACCGACUGUGACGCCAACACCAUCCGCGGACCCCGGCUCCGACGAGGGCGGCCGAAAUGGCCGGCCCACAAUUGGUGCCAGCGGUGGUGGUUGGUUGUCGGUGGAGGACUUUUGGCUUCAGGUUCGUGCUUCUUGUGGCGGAACGAGUGCAGCGUCAAAUAAUACCCAAAGGACAUGCAUGCUUCUCGAUAUUCCCAAUUAAUUAACAGUAUACUUUAUCGAACUAACUACUGAUUAGCUUUAAUUUUGGUCAUCUGGUGAACAAAAAACGACUCCUAUAACAUUGACCAAUAACGUUUGGCCAUUCUGAACAAUUUACACCAGCGAAAGUAAUAAGUGGCAAUAAAAAAAUUGUCCACAGAAAGUUUGCCAAUUCAACAAUUUACAGCGAUAUAACUACAUUAGAAGUAUUGCUGUUUGCAUGCCUUCCCAAACGAUUUCACGGGUAUGACGUGAUACACAGAUGCACUCGUUCAGAAGACGCCACUCUUUAAAAGGACUUCUUUUUUUUCAACCGUAUAUUUUUUUUAUUAAAUAACAAUCCUUGAGUUUCUGUUACCCAUCUGGGAGUGGCCACUAUCUGACUCCCCGAGCAUCGACUACGGAGAAACGCCGAUACGCAUCACGGUCUGCAAAAGCUGGCUGAUGAUAGUCAUGAUGGGGUCGGAAGCUCAUCGCCGAUCCGUCUGGCUGUCUCAGUCGCUCUGCAUCUGGUCCACGAAUCACACACUGCAACUGCGGACGCCAUCACCGACUGCAACGGCUGCAACUGCAACCAGCAGGUGGCCUAGGUCCAAAGCCAACGCCUGGCUGACCCACAUGGCCGCCUGCCGUCGCUGCUACCUCAUCUGCUCAUCGUGCUUCGCUGUUCUCCGUCCGUUCGUCCGUCACUCUCGUCGCCCGUGCCAGCCGCCAUCAACAUGGCUGAGCGCACUAUCGCCGCCAUCAAGGCGCUGUCGAUCAAAGGGGUCACCAACACCCUCGCCAGUUCCACCAGCUUCCGGUACGCUGACGUCUCCGGUAUCGGUGCUGUGCGGCGGCAGCCAACGCUCCGUUGACAGGUGUGGCCACACUGUCACGGCGCACCCUGGCCGCUGCCCCUCACGAUCAACUCGGACAUCAUCUACCCGCAGAGGUGCCUGGCGCAUAACAUCGACAACGACAAAACAUGGCGACAACGAUAACGACGACGACUAGCGAUGACGACAAAACCGAAUCGGAGAGCAGCGACAACAGCAGCAGCAGUAGUAGCAACAACAGGCGUACCAGUACCAGUAGCAGCAGCAGCCGUACCUGCAGCAGCAGCAGCAGUCGUACCUGGCUUUCCAUGCGCGGUGUCAUACGUGGAUCUAUGCAGUUAGGGUCGUGAUUGCUUAUUGGUCGCCUCCUCUUGUCAGCUUGUUGGGGGAGGAAAGAUAUGUGGAGAAGGAAAUCAUGGCCUCCCACUCCCGAUGGAGGCCCCAAAUGUCGGACCCCUAUUUUUUGUAUUUGUCUGGGUGUCUGGGGCGCAUAGCGACACGGGACCGCCGGCUGGCUGGCCGGCUGCCCGUCCGGUCACGUGCUUGCGUCCCGACACCCACCAUAAAACCUAUGUUCUCUAAAUACACGCUCUCACUCCUCCUC